RNAcentral lists this ribosomal RNA (1376 nucleotides) under uncultured organism. RNAcentral's name for it is "bacterial SSU rRNA". It matches the Rfam family "Bacterial small subunit ribosomal RNA". The record is from RNAcentral.
CUUAUGCAUGCAGUCGAACGAUGAGGCCCUACGGGGUACAUCAGUGGCAGACGGGUGAGUAACACGUAGGUAACCUGCCCUCGAGACGGGGAUAACGGCUGGAAACGGUCGCUAAGACCCGAUAUAGUCUGACCUUCGGGAGAAGGUGAGAGGAAAGGCUUCGGUGCUCGGGGAGGGGCCUGCGGCCCAUCAGCUAGUUGGAGAGGUAACGGCUCCCCAAGGCAAUGACGGGUAGGGGGUGUGAGAGCAUGUGCCCCCACACUGUGACUGAGACACGGCCCAGACUCCUACGGGAGGCAGCAGCAGGGAAAUAUUGCGCAAUGGACGGAAGUCUGACGCAGCGACGCCGCGUGAAUGAUGAAGGCCUUCCGGGUUGUAAAAUCCUUUUCCGGGCGAUGAGGAAGGACACUAGCCUGGGAAUAAGCGUCGGCUAAACUACGUGCCAACAGCCGGGGUAAGACGUAGGACGCGAGCGUCAUCCGGAUAUACUGGGCGUAAAGGCGCUUGCAGGCGGGCCAGGUAAGUCGGGUUGUGAAAGCCCCCGUGCUCAACGCGGGGAAGGCCAAGCGGAAACUGCGUGACUUGAGGGCGGAAGAGGGGAGUGGAAUUCCCGGUGUAGCGGUAAAAUGCGCAGAAUAUCGGGAAGAACACCAGUGGCGAAGGCGGCUCCCUGGACCGCACCUGACGCUCAGAGGCGAAAGCUAGGGGAGCGAACAGGAUUAGAGACCCUGGUAGUCCUAGGCCCUAAACGCUUGGAUGCUAGGUGUAGGGCUGAUGAGGCUCUGUGCCGGAGCGAACGCGAUAAGCAUCCCGCCUGGGGACUACGGCCGCAAGGCUAAAACUCAAACGAAUGGACGGGGACCCGCACAAGCANCGGAGCGUGUGGUUUAAUUCGAUGCUACACGAAGAACCUUACCUGGGUUUGACAUGCUGGUGGUACCGAACCGAAAGGGGAGGGACCCUUCGGGGAGCCAACACAGGUGCUGCAUGGCUGUCGUCAGCUCGUGCCGUGAGGUGUCGGGUUAAGUCCCGUAACGAGCGCAACCCUUGCUCUUAGUUAUACGUGUCUAAGGGGACUGCCGGCGACAAGCCGGAGGAAGGUGGGGAUGACGUCAAGUCAGCAUGGCCUUGAUAUCCAGGGCUACACACACGCUACAAUGGCCGGUACAAAGGGCAGCCAAGCCGCGAGGUGGAGCGAAUCCCAGCAAAGCCGGUCCCAGUUCGGAUUGCAGGCUGCAACCCGCCUGCAUGAAGUUGGAGUUGCUAGUAACCGCGCGUCAGCCAUAGUGCGGUGAAUACGUACCCGGGUCUUGUACACACCGCCCGUCACGUCAUGGGAGUUGGCAACGCCUGACAGCGGUAGCCUAACCGAAAGG